RNAcentral lists this ribosomal RNA (527 nucleotides) under Mastacembelus sp. RNAcentral's name for it is "partial 12S ribosomal RNA". It matches the Rfam family "Bacterial small subunit ribosomal RNA", at positions 557 to 1367 of the family's 1533-position model. Lineage: Eukaryota; Metazoa; Chordata; Actinopteri; Synbranchiformes; Mastacembelidae. The record is from RNAcentral.
GGCGUAAAGAGUGGUUAAGAACAUUCUAAAAUAAAGUCGAAUGCUUUCUAAGCUGUCAUACGCACCUGAAAGUAAGAAGCCCGAACACGAAGGUAACUUUACAAAAUUCUGACCCCACGAAAGCUAGGUCACAAACUGGGAUUAGAUACCCCACUAUGCCCAGCCUUAAACAUAAAUAGCACCCCACAUUAGCUAUUCGCCAGGGAACUACGAGCCUCAGCUUAAAACCCAAAGGACUUGGCGGUGCUUUAAAUCCACCUAGAGGAGCCUGUUCUAUAACCGAUAACCCCCGUUCAACCUCACCUUCCCUUGUUAAUUCCGCCUAUAUACCGCCGUCGUCAGCUUACCCCAUAAGGGUUAAACAGUAAGCAUAAUUGGUUCAACCCCAAACGUCAGGUCGAGGUGUAGCAUAUGAGAAGGAAAGAAAUGGGCUACAUUCACUAUUUAAGUGAAUACGAAUGAUAAAUUGAAACAUUCAUCUGAAGGAGGAUUUAGCAGUAAGCAGAAAAUAGAGCGUUCUGCUGAAA